This 503-nucleotide ribosomal RNA is filed under the name uncultured bacterium. RNAcentral's name for it is "bacterial SSU rRNA". It matches the Rfam family "Bacterial small subunit ribosomal RNA", at positions 15 to 507 of the family's 1533-position model. The record is from RNAcentral.
GAUCAUGGCUCAGGAUGAACGCUAGCUACAGGCUUAACACAUGCAAGUCGAGGGGCAGCAUGAACUUAGCUUGCUAAGUUUGAUGGCGACCGGCGCACGGGUGAGUAACACGUAUCCAACCUUCCGUUUACUCAGGGAUAGCCUUUCGAAAGAAAGAUUAAUACCUGAUAGUAUGGUGAGAUUGCAUGAUAGCACCAUUAAAGAUUUAUUGGUAAACGAUGGGGAUGCGUUCCAUUAGGUAGUAGGCGGGGUAACGGCCCACCUAGCCGACGAUGGAUAGGGGUUCUGAGAGGAAGGUCCCCCACAUUGGAACUGAGACACGGUCCAAACUCCUACGGGAGGCAGCAGUGAGGAAUAUUGGUCAAUGGGCGAGAGCCUGAACCAGCCAAGUAGCGUGAAGGAUGAAGGUCCUACGGAUUGUAAACUUCUUUUAUACGGGAAUAAAGUAUCCUACGUGUAGGAUUUUGUAUGUACCGUAUGAAUAAGCAUCGGCUAACUCCGUG